GUACUUACCUGGCAGGGGAGAUACCACGAUCACGAACAUCGUUUUUUCCAGUGCAUUUUAGGCAGGCUGACCCCUGAAUUCCUCCAAAUGCAGGAAACGCAACUGCAUAAUUUUUAGUUGGGGACUGUGUUCACACUCUCCCCUG
This is a small nuclear RNA of Microtus ochrogaster (prairie vole), 145 nucleotides long. Its record names the gene U1. It matches the Rfam family "U1 spliceosomal RNA". Rfam says of the family: U1 is a small nuclear RNA (snRNA) component of the spliceosome (involved in pre-mRNA splicing). Its 5' end forms complementary base pairs with the 5' splice junction, thus defining the 5' donor site of an intron. NCBI's taxonomy places the organism in Eukaryota, Metazoa, Chordata, Mammalia, Rodentia, Cricetidae. The record is from Ensembl.